GUUCCUGUAGUUAAAGUUGUUAACGAUAGCUUUUCAGGCUUUAGAUCUCGGAGAAAGGCCGAGUGGGAACU
Molecule: transfer RNA, 71 nt
Filed under: Liocichla omeiensis
Lineage: Eukaryota; Metazoa; Chordata; Aves; Passeriformes; Leiothrichidae
Description: tRNA-Glu
Source: RNAcentral